AGAGUUUGAUCCUGGCUCAGGACGAACGCUGGCGGCGCGCCUAACACAUGCAAGUCGAACGAGCGAGAGAGAGCUUGCUUUCUCGAGCGAGUGGCGAACGGGUGAGUAACGCGUGAGCAAUCUGCCUUUAAGAGGGGGAUAACAGUCGGAAACGGCUGCUAAUACCGCAUAAAGCAUUGAAUUCGCAUGUUUUCGAUGCCAAAGGAGCAAUCCGCUUUUAGAUGAGCUCGCGUCUGAUUAGCCAGUUGGUGAGGUAACGGCCCACCAAGGCGACGAUGCAUAGCCGGCCUGAGAGGGCGGACGGCCACAUUGGGACUGAGACACGGCCCAAACUCCUACGGGAGGCAGCAGUGGGGAAUAUUGCACAAUGGGGGAAACCCUGAUGCAGCGACGCCGCGUGGAGGAAGAAGGUCUUCGGAUUGUAAACUCCUGUUGUUGGGGAAGAUAAUGACGGUACCCAACAAGGAAGUGACGGCUAACUACGUGCCAGCAGCCGCGGUAAAACGUAGGUCACAAGCGUUGUCCGGAAUUACUGGGUGUAAAGGGAGCGCAGGCGGGAAGACAAGUUGGAAGUGAAAUCUAUGGGCUCAACCCAUAAACUGCUUUCAAAACUGUUUUUCUUGAGUAGUGCAGAGGUAGGCGGAAUUCCCGGUGUAGCGGUGGAAUGCGUAGAUAUCGGGAGGAACACCAGUGGCGAAGGCGGCCUACUGGGCACCAACUGACGCUGAGGCUCGAAAGUGUGGGUAGCAAGCAGAAUUAGAUACCCUGGUAGUCCACACCGUAAACGAUGAUUACUAGGGGUGGAGGGAUUGACCCCUUCAGUGCCGCAGUUAACACAAUAAGUAAUCCACCUGGGGAGUACGACCGCAAGGUUGAAACUCAAAGGAAUUGACGGGGGCCCGCACAAGCAGUGGAGUAUGUGGUUUAAUUCGACGCAACGCGAAGAACCUUACCAAGUCUUGACAUCCCUUGACAGGCAUAGAAAUAUGUAAUCUCUUCGGAGCAAGGAGACAGGUGGUGCAUGGUUGUCGUCAGCUCGUGUCGUGAGAUGUUGGGUUAAGUCCCGCAACGAGCGCAACCCUUAUCAUUAGUUGCUACGCAAGAGCACUCUAAUGAGACUGCCGUUGAUAAAACGGAGGAAGGUGGGGAUGACGUCAAAUCAUCAUGCCCCUUAUGACCUGGGCUACACACGUACUACAAUGGUGAUCAAACAGAGGGAAGCAACACAGCGAUGUGAAGCAGAACCCGAAAAAUCAUCUCAGUUCAGAUUGCAGGCUGCAACUCGCCUGCAUGAAGUCGGAAUUGCUAGUAAUCGCGGAUCAGCAUGCCGCGGUGAAUACGUUCCUGGGCCUUGUACACACAGGCCGUCA
Molecule: ribosomal RNA, 1370 nt
Filed under: synthetic construct
Also listed under: 1 other name
Description: bacterial SSU rRNA
Rfam family: Bacterial small subunit ribosomal RNA
Source: RNAcentral